CGAGCAUGGGUCGCCAUUAUUGUUUAUGACCAGUGCGAAAACGACGUCCGCCAUGAUUUUUUUUUCAAACCUGAAUGGUCCGGCGUCUUGGCUGAGGGCGGUGCGCUGUUGACACACGCCAUCUUGGGUUUGGACGAGCAUGUCCACUAUUAAUGGGUGCGAAAACGACGUCCGCCAUUUUUUUUUUUUUUAGUUUAGUAUUUUAAACCUGCUUGGUCCGCCAUCUUGGCUGAGGGCUGAUGCGAAGUCUGCGUCCGCCAUCGCACAGUCAUUCUGGCUUUUUUUUUUUAAACCUGCAUGGUUCGCCAUCUUGGGUGGGGGCGAACCCUAAACCGACAUCCGUCAAUGUGUGCGGUUGUGUAAUAACGUUUCAGCAAUCGUGACGUCGACAUUCGCCUGAACCCUGAAUUGUCCAUGUGACGACACCAAUUACAAAUGGUAAAUGUACUGGACACCUUUUCUGGGAUAUUUCACUGGAAGAUUCAAUGACUGUCAGAGGAUCGAAGAUGUUGCCAGGAAGAGUAAGAGGAAGAGUAAAGGGGCACACUAAACUAAAAUGCAAUGCCUGGGAGAUCCACACCAAGACCCCAUCACCUUCAUUGCCACCCGGAGCACUCUGCUGCAUUACUGAGAACCACAAGAAAGUACUAGGGCACGAUCACCUUGACUAACACUGGAGAGGUCUUUGGCGCAGCUUUUUGAGCUGUGGCACGGCAGUAGAAGAGUAAAGUGCUGGGAUCGAAGUGAGAAGCCAUUUUGAAGGAAAAGUUGAAUGAAGCGCAUGUCCACACUUGUAUUAUUUUUAUUUGAACCUUUAUAUUUUUUGAGCCUACUGGUUUGUCAGUACUACAACUAUUCCAAGUGCCAAACGGAGAGGACAGAUGGUCAGACUUUGUUUGCUUUUCUGUAUUGUUUUUGAAGUGGUUUCUCUCUGGUAUCAAAUAAUUUUUCUUUUCAGGUAGUUGUGGUCAAAGAAUCUAUUCUCUGCAGAGAAUACAACAGGCUGGCCUGUGACUGAAAUGUUCACUGACGUUAUGAGGACCACUACUGUUAACAACAGGACAACCUUCCUUGCACCCUCCUGUUUCGUAGCAUUGACAGGAACUAAUUACCUGCAUAUAUUUUGUCAGUGUAGGUCAGUGGUAUAAAACUUUUUAUAUUUUAUUUUUUUGUCACGGGCCACAUUUGGUGGAUGAUUGUAAUAGCGAAACGUUAUGAUUAAUGAUGACAAUUUG
Long non-coding RNA from Syngnathoides biaculeatus (alligator pipefish), 1235 nucleotides. RefSeq lists it as uncharacterized. The transcript is spliced from 4 exons. NCBI's taxonomy places the organism in Eukaryota, Metazoa, Chordata, Actinopteri, Syngnathiformes, Syngnathidae. The record is from RefSeq and is a predicted model, not a curated record.